CGGGACGGGGUGGAGUAAUGUCUGGGAAACUGCCCGAUGGAGGGGGAUAACUACUGGAAACGGUAGCUAAUACCGCAUAACGUCGCAAGACCAAGAGGGGACCGUUCGGGCCUCUUGCCAUCGGAUGUGCCCAGAUGGGAUUAGCUAGUAGGUGGGGUAACGGCUCACCUAGGCGACGAUCCCUAGCUGGUCUGAGAGGAUGACCAGCCACACUGGAACUGAGACACGGUCCAG
This 234-nucleotide ribosomal RNA is filed under the name uncultured bacterium. Its description in RNAcentral is "partial 16S ribosomal RNA". It matches the Rfam family "Bacterial small subunit ribosomal RNA", at positions 104 to 334 of the family's 1533-position model. The record is from RNAcentral.